GACGACGCUGGCGGCGUGCUUAACACAUGCAAGUCGAACGGGAGUAUUGAAGAAGCUUGCUUUAGAGAUACUUUAGUGGCGGACGGGUGAGUAACGCGUGAGGAGCUGUCCUAUGCAGGGGGACAACAGCUGGAAACGGCUGCUAAUACCCCAUAAGCCGAGAGGUAAAAGGAUCAAUCCGGCAGAGGAGGUACUCGCGUCCUAUCAGCUAGUAGGUGAGGUAACGGCUCACCUAGGCGAAGACGGGUAGCCGGCCUGAGAGGGCGAACGGCCACACUGGAACCGAGAUACGGUCCAGACUCCUACGGGAGGCAGCAGUGGGGAAUAUUGGGCAAUGGGGGAAACCCUGACCCAGCGACGCCGCGUGGGUGAAGAAAUCCUUCGGGAUGUAAAGCCCUGUUGUAUGGGAAGAGCGGAAGACGGUACCAUACGAGGAAGCCCCGGCAAACUACGUG
Molecule: ribosomal RNA, 455 nt
Filed under: uncultured bacterium
Lineage: Bacteria
Description: bacterial SSU rRNA
Rfam family: Bacterial small subunit ribosomal RNA
Source: RNAcentral